AUUGAACGCUGGCGGCAUGCUUUACACAUGCAAGUCGAACGGCAGCGCGGGCUUCGGCCUGGCGGCGAGUGGCGAACGGGUGGGUAAUGCAUCGGAACGUGCCCAGUAGUGGGGGAUAGCCCGGCGACAGCCGGAUUCAUACCGCAUACGACCUGAGGGUGUAAGCGGGGGACCGAAAGACCUCGCGCUCUUGGAGCGGCCGAUGUCGGAUUAGCUAGUUGGUGGGGUAAAGGCUUACCAAGGCGACGAUCCGUAGCUGGUCUGAGAGGAUGACCAGCCACACUGGAACUGAGACACGGCCCAGACUCCUACGGGAGGCAGCAGUGGGGAAUUUUGGACAAUGGGGGUAACCCUGAUCCAGCCAUGCCGCGUGCGGGAAGAAGGCCUUCGGGUUGUAAACCGCUUUUGUUCGGGAAGAAAUCCUCUGGGCUAAUACCCCGGGGGGAUGACGGUACCGGAAGAAUAAGCACCGGCUAACUACGUG
RNAcentral lists this ribosomal RNA (484 nucleotides) under uncultured bacterium. RNAcentral's name for it is "partial 16S ribosomal RNA". It matches the Rfam family "Bacterial small subunit ribosomal RNA", at positions 28 to 507 of the family's 1533-position model. The record is from RNAcentral.